Long non-coding RNA from Oncorhynchus keta (chum salmon), 1437 nucleotides. RefSeq lists it as uncharacterized. The transcript has 6 exons. The record is from RefSeq and is a predicted model, not a curated record. NCBI's taxonomy places the organism in Eukaryota, Metazoa, Chordata, Actinopteri, Salmoniformes, Salmonidae.
UAGGUAGUAUGUGGACCAGGGUUAGGUAGGGGUAGGGGUAGGUAGUAUGUAGACCAGGGUUAGGUAGGGGUAGGUAGUAUGUGGACCAGGGUUAGGUAGGGGUAGGUAGUAUGUGGACCAGGGUUAGGUAGGGGUAGGUAGUAUGUGGACCAGGGUUAGGUAGGGGUAGGUAGUAUGUGGACCAGGGUUAGGUAGGGGUAGGUAGUAUGUGGACCAGGGUUAGGUAGGGGUAGGUAGUAUGUGGACCAGGGUUAGGUAGGUGUAGGUAGUAUGUGGACCAGGGUCAGGUAGGGGUAGGUAGUAUGUAGACCAGGGUUAGGUAGGGGGAGGUAGUAUGUAGACCAGGGUUAGGUAGGGGUAGGUAGUAUGUGGACCAGGGUUAGGUUGGGGUAGGUAGUAUGUGGACCAGGGUUAGGUAGGGGUAGGUAGUAUGUGGACCAGGGUUAGGUAGGGGUAGGUAGUAUGGGGACCAGGGUUAGGUAGGGGUAGGUAGUAUGUGGACCAGGGUUAGGUAGGGGUAGAUAGUAUGUGGACCAGGGUUAGGUAGGGGUAGGUAGUAUGUGGACCAGGGUUAGGUAGGGGUAGGGGUAGGUAGUAUGUGGACCAGGGUUAGGUAGGGGUAGGUAGUAUGUGGACCAGCGUUAGGUAGGGGUAGGGGUAGGUAGUAUGUAGACCAGGGUUAAGUAGGGGGAGGUAGUAUGUGGACCAGGGUUAGGUAGGGGUAGGUAGUAUGUAGACCAGGGUUAGGUAGGGGUAGGUAGUAUGUGGACCAGGGUUAGGUAGGGGUAGGUAGUAUGUGGACCAGGGUUAGGUAGGGGUAGGUAGUAUGUAGACCAGGGUUAGGUAGGGGUAGGUAGUAUGUGGACCAGGGUUAGGUAGGGGUAGGUAGUAUGUAGACCAGGGUUAGGUAGGGGUAGGUAGUAUGUGGACCAGGGUUAGGUAGGGGUAGGUAGUAUGUGGACCAGGGUUAGGUAGGGGUAGGUAGUAUGUAGACCAGGGUUAGGUAGGGGUAGGUAAUAUGUGGACCAGGGUUAGGUAGGGGUAGGGGUAGGUAGUAUGUGGACCAGGGUUAGGUAGGGGUAGGUAGUAUGUAGACCAGGGUUAGGUAGGGGUAGGUAGUAUGUAGACCAGGGUUAGGUAGGGGUAGGUAGUAUGUGGACCAGGGUUAGGUAGGGGUAGGGGUAGGUAGUAUGUGGACCAGGGUUAGGUAGGGGUAGAUAGUAUGUGGACCAGGGUUAGGUAGGGGUAGAUAGUAUGUGGACCAGGGUUAGGUAGGGGUAGGUAGUAUGUGGACCAGGGUUAGGUAGGGGUAGGUAAUAUGUGGACCAGGGUUAGGUAGGGGUAGGUAGUAUGUGGACCAGGGUUAGGUAGGGGUAGGUAGUAUGUGGACCAGGGUUAGGUAGGGGUAGGUAGUAUGUAGACCAGGGUUAGGUAGGG